UGUAAAAUACAUUCUUUAGCACACAGCUUAGCCUAUCCAAUCCCAAGGCAUAAUGCCAUGAAUACGAAUCCCUCUUUGUCCUCAGUCUAUUUGCCUUCCUGGGGCCCACAGAUGCCCUUCUAAUGGCAGCCCUCCAGAUUGCACCUCUUCUAAGUGCCCACUGCUUGGGAAACCAGGAAUUAUUAGCCUGCUUUACUGUAUGUACCUCGCAACCUAAUUAAAAUCUACACCUUCAAUGUUUCAUUGCAGGAAGCACUAUUGCAAGAAUGACUAUCUGUUCUAACAAGCUCAACUCGGUGAAGGGUUUGGAUUUUUGUGGGAAUGGCAUUGAAGUUAAUCAUGGGUCAUUGUGGCCAAACUCUGAAGAAUUUAUAUUUAUUCCACAAGAUUCUUCUGUCUCCUGCUAACAUAGCAUGCAUCUGCAACCUUUGGAUGGAGAUUAUAGUUAAACAGGAAAAAAAUAUAGCCUAGUAUAGUCCUGCCUUGCAACUAUAUUAAGCCAUAACUGGAGGAAUGAAUCCAAUCAGGCCGCGUUAGACUACACAUUUCAGGAAAAAUGUGGUGGAGAUGGUUCUGGAUGACUCACUCUUAAUUUCUUCUGGCUCAGAAAAACUGGUAUUGAGAUUUUGUUUCAAAUGUCCUACAUGAUGAGAUGAAGUAAAGUGAACAACAUGGGCAUUGUGAUGUUGUGUUAAGCUACUGCUGACCUUCCGACAAUGUGUCUGCUUCCAGACAUCUGCUUCCAGACUGCAAAUGAUAGCAGGUCACUGGAUUCAAAGAACAAGAAAUGAUAUAAACAAAUGGACUUCAAGGCCAGAGCAGCAUGGUCUCCAGAAUUUCCCAGCACUACAGUGGCCUCAGUGACCUGUACUUCAAAGCAAGGAAGAUGCUGAAUUAUCCUUUUGUACCGUCUUUUGUUCUUUCACAAUUGGUUGUAGAAAGUGCAGCCCUCAGCUUCAGACACUGAAACCCAAUGAAUCAAACAUAAUGAGUCUGACAUGUCAUUGAAUAAAACGCAGGAAAAAUGCUGUGGGUUCCACACCAUUGCCUCUAUUAAA
Molecule: long non-coding RNA, 1058 nt
Organism: Felis catus (domestic cat)
Lineage: Eukaryota; Metazoa; Chordata; Mammalia; Carnivora; Felidae
Exons: 5
Source: RefSeq, a predicted model, not a curated record